GAUGAACGCUGGCGGCGUGCCUAAUACAUGCAAGUCGAGCGAACGGACGAGAAGUUUGCUUCUCUGAUGUUAGCCGCGGACGGGUGUAUAACACGUGGAUAACCUCCCUAUAAGACUGGGAUAACUUCGGGACGCCGGAUCUUAUACCAGAUAAUAUUUUGAUCCGUAUGGUUCAAAAGUAAAAGACGAUCUUGUUAUUACUAAUAGGUGGUUCCGCGCUGCAUUUACUAGUUGGUAAGGUAACGCCUUACCAAGGCAACGCUGAAUCGCCGACCGAAGGGGGUGAUCGGCCACACUGGAACUGAGAAACGGUCAAGACUCCUACGGGGGGCAGCAGAAGGGAAUCUUCGGCAAGGGGCGAAGGCCUAACGGAGCAACGCGGCUGGAGGGAUGAAGGUCUCCGGAUCGUAAAACUCGGUUAUUGGGGAAGAACAGAGGUGGAAGGAAAUGUGCACAUCGUGACGGUACCUAAUCAGAAAGCCACGGCUAACUACGUG
This 497-nucleotide ribosomal RNA is filed under the name uncultured bacterium. RNAcentral's name for it is "partial 16S ribosomal RNA". It matches the Rfam family "Bacterial small subunit ribosomal RNA", at positions 28 to 507 of the family's 1533-position model. The record is from RNAcentral.